RNAcentral lists this long non-coding RNA (26656 nucleotides) under Coffea arabica (coffee). RNAcentral describes it as "long non-coding RNA (CARA_LNC002914)". The record is from RNAcentral. Lineage: Eukaryota; Viridiplantae; Streptophyta; Magnoliopsida; Gentianales; Rubiaceae.
UUUUUUUUUUUGGGUCGUUUGCUAAAAUAUAGCAGGUGAUGCAGCUACAAGAUAGGCAGGAAUUUAGGCACUUUGCAGCUAUAAAAUAGGGAACAAGAUGCGGCUCAAAGUUAGCCUAUCAGUUUUGGAAGUCUUUGGCUUUUAGAAAUCUUUCGGGUUUUGGAGACUAGGAAGCUGCCUUUUCUUUUCCUUGCUUGGUGUUACCCGAUUCCCCUUACUUGGUUGCGGAACAAGAUGGGCAGUUUAUUUUGUUCCUUUCAAGAUCAAAUUGGUUGCUGCAACAAUUUUUUUUUUUUGUUUAUACAGCCAAAAGAUGAACUAUGGGUUCGGCUCAAACACACAAAUUUCCAGGUUUGGUUGCAGCUUUGGUGCGGCCUGUUUUGGUGAUUUUAAUGUUUGGGCAGGUUGUGAUUCUUGGUUCCCAACAAUUAGAGCUCAAAGUUCAGGUAUGUUUCAAUGUCACGCACAAGAAAAUUUCAAGAAUUCAAGAUCAAACCACAAUUUCCAGCAAAUAACUUCAAGAAUAUCAAGGCUAAUUUCCAGAUUUCAAGAAUAUCCAGAAUCCCUUCAAGAUCUUCGUGAAACCAGCAAAUUUGACGCAAGAAAUUCAAGAACAAGGUACCAAUACUUUCCUAGAUGAUAAGCAACUAAAGAAAAAUGACAUGAAUAGAUUUGGAAACAAAAAAAAACUCAACAAGAAAGAACGAACAGAUUUGGAAACUACCAAAACUCAACAAGAAGGAAUGAACAGAUUUCUUCUUCUCCUCUUUUUGUUUUUUUUUUCUUUAAACCCAAAUGAUGUAACUACCAAACAAAUAGCCUAAGAAUAACACAAAUAAUUCCCAGAAUUUCCAAAAAUUAAAAUGGCACAAGAAAGACACCAAAACACUGACGAGCAGAAUUUUUUUUUACAAAGAAUAAGACUAGCGGCUGGUUCUAUAUGUAUAUAUAUAUACUUGUUUUCUGAGUAGGGCCCAAUCACAGCAAUGGACAGCGAGUCUGAGCAACAAUAGACAACAACAGGCACAAAACGUGGUGAUACAACCUGAAAACUAACGCAAGACACGAUGUACACCAACUGGAAAUUACGGACAACAAUAGGGAGACAAGGAAAAAGGAUUAGCUACUGACCCUUUCUUUUUUUUUUGACUCAGGUUGGGACUUACUGCCGACAAUAACAAGAUGUUGAACGAGGGACAGGCACAACAAUUAAGAGACAAUUCGGUCAAAUUGGGCCAUGCAAGGGAUAAUGUUAAGUGCGGCAAGACCAAAAUUUGAAUGACUCAAUGCUUUGUUGUGCGUCUUUGGCACAAUUAUCAACACUGACCGACACCUCAAUUUGCUGGACAUAGAUGGUGGAAACAAUCAGCAAUACAUGACCAGAUUGUAACACACAAGACUCAAUAGAAACAGCAAUAAGGACGCGAUACUAAGAACAGACUCCAAACAUGGCGACCAGAAUUUGAUAACAAGGAAACUUGCGGACAGAUUGGAGGUGCGAACAGAAUUUAACUAACGAGACAGAUACGGAAGGUACGAAUUAAGACACAAAAGAGGGAUAAACGAUGUUACCAACAAGCUAGCUCUGAUGCCAGCUGAUACGAAUCUUGUUGGUGAGAAGAUUCGCGACCCAAGAUCACUUGUUGGAUUUGACUUCGAACGCAAGAAACGGUAGCAGCGGAAACCCUACGACCCCUCUAAUCCCCGUGACUACGAACUUGUUGAUAUUAUCUCAACCCGUAAUCAAACAAAUUAACGAACCUCAAGCAAGUGUAGAAGGCGCCACAAUUCAAGUGUGGUUCUUGAAUUGAUAAGCCAAACAAGAACACUAGAGUAAAACUCUAAGUUGUUCAAGGGUUGCUCAAAAGCUAUGGAGAAAAUUCUCUCAAAUAUUUUAUGAUAAAAGUGUCUAACCCUCAAAUUAUCAAAGCUUGGCUAUUUAUAGCCUUUCAAAGAAGCAAACCUAAUCUAAGUUGGAAACAAUGCAAGUUUCCUUAUUCGAUUUGACAACUAAACUAAUGACUCACUAAUCAUAGUUAGGGCUAACUAAUGGACAGCUUAUAAUCGAUCCAAUGAAGGCUUUAAACUGGCCAUAACCCAAUAAAAGCUAAUUAACCAACUUAAGUAAUAGUGAGCCUAGACUCUAUAAAUCGGAUCCAACUCAACAUGAGGCCUUGGACCAAACUUAUUCCUACCAAAUAAAAUAGAAAUCUGAAAAAAAACUACUAAACUAUUACUAAAAGAUUCAUUCUCUUGCAGCCCGAAACAUGGCCCAUAAGCGGCCCAUAUUUCGUAUCAUUCAGGUUGGUAAUCAUAAAAUUAUGAAUAAUCACUAUAAGUACAUUGAUUAUCCCAACCAUAAGGAGGAGAAUUGCUCCAAUUAGCACUAUAUCGAUCAAAACAAGGAUUGUAAUGCUCUAAUUCAUCAUAAUAAUCUAUAUUUUGUACUUGCAUACAUGUAUUAGUAGCAUGAUAACCUCCACUGUGACGACCCAACUUCUCCCAAGGGCGAACCCAAGGGUAUCGGCGAGCCGCCUGCUUAGCUCACGCCAGGACUCAAAACCUAAAGUAAUAAAACUAGAUAAAUCGAAAGAGCACUAUAUACAAUAUAUACAAUCCCCAAAAGUGUUCUAAUUACAUUCUUCAAAAGUACCUGCUCAUACCAUUACAUCCUUAUAAUUAUAACCAAAACCACAGAGUAGACCCUAAGGAGGGUCCUUAUACAAACCACCACAACAAAAACAAACAUCCUAAUUGUCCAACUAUUACAAGCAAACCUAACUAUACUAGUGUAUGUGCCAAAAGUCCCCGCGUCGGCCCCUGCUAAGGAAAACAAAAGGAAAGGGGUAAGUUAUAUGCUUAGUAAGUAAACAGGGGCAAAAGCGUAAAUUUCACAUAACAACAAUUACACAGUAAGAGUAAAGCAAAAGCAGAAAAGUAACAUCACAUAAUAAGGAUACAGGUGGCUCCAAAGCCAGAUCGUUUGCCAUGCGUGACCUUCUGCCGACACUCCGUCGACCACAAAUAAUGGUCCGUAGAACUUCACUUGUACUCCCACUGUACACCUUAUCAUCCUCUCUGGCCAGACACCUCACAUACUUGCUCGAGCGAACGAAAUUGAGCUUGGUUCACAAGCUCGGGUCACAAACUUGGUCCACAUAAUCGGUGAACCGGAUUCACAAACUUGGUGACCUCAAACCAGGUUGGACUGACUUCGACCAAGCCCUAACCGGCUCGAAUAGUCCAUCUAGGUCAUGAGAUCGGGCUCCAAACUAACAAACUUCACAAAAUUUACUCAAAAGUCACCCCAAGCCACAAGCUCAAGGGGUUUAGUUCCAAAAUGAUUCAUAUACAUAUGCCAUGUACAAAUAUGCACGUAAAUUAGGGUUUAGGUCGAGUGCGAUAAAGUACACCCUCGCCUAGGUACCCUUUUCAUACAUAUCGAAACACAUAAGCAACUAACACAUAAGAGCGGCCUGAAUACUUACCCAAAGAACAAAAGAGCAAAAGUACGAAAUUCGUGCCGCGAGGAGUAGCUAGUAGGCCCCACCGGCUCCACCUAGCUCACCACCGUUUGAAAUAGAAGAUUGCGUCACAUAAUAUCACAAAUGGCUACUAAUAUGCCUAAAACAAGCAAAACGGCAAAAUCGGCAAAUACGAGUGCGGAAACGGCAUACGGAAUCGGAAAUGGUAACCCAAUUGCUUUGCCGUCAAAACAGUUUUGAGCCUAAUUGAAGCUACGAGUGUCGGAUAAAGGUACAUGAGGUACCAUUGUGAAGCUAAGAGGAAGGGUUACAAUUUUCAUGAAGACACCUCAAUCCGGAUCUAAACGGAAAUAGGUCGAAAGUGCAGAAAACCGUUCCAGGAAUUCACACCCUAGAGUAACGGACAGCGUAUGUUUGCUGGACCAUAACACCCAUCUCACAAAUCCAAAUCUAGAAAUUCCAAAGGAAUUAGAAAGCUGAGACAUAAGGUUAAAACUUUUAUGUUUUGGCCAAGACCUGAAUCCACUCAGAACAAAACGAAAAUUGAGUACCAAAGUACCCGUCAGAACUGUCCAGAUUCAAAGGCAGUUCUGACGAUCGAUCUUGUUUUGGUCAUAAUGGGAGCUACGGAUUUCGGAUUUUGACACACUUUAUACCAUUUCGAAGCUAAAACCAAGAUCUACAUUUCUUAUGAAGGGUCAAUACCCAGAUCGUACGUUAUCAAAACAGAAAAAAUCACGGUCAGAAGCUAAUUCAAAACGCAACAGAAUCUGAUGUUCAAAAUAGGCCUGAGUGUUUUGUCUAUAACUCAGGAUACACUAAUCCGUUUUACCUGAAAUUUUCCAGGCAUAUUCAGGACUUAUGAAGCUACAACUUUCAUGUUUUGAGGAACUUCUGAAUCCAUAUGUAACAUCAAGAAAAGUGAAGCCAAAGUUUGGAUGCUGAACUGCCCAAGUUUUCCAGAUUUGCCGGUUUUGCGGGCCGCAACCGUACAGUCCGUUUUUAUGAUUCUUAUACAAGUUUUUCUAACCAAUUUGAUACCAAACAACCAUAGGUAUAUCAGCCUAGGAGUGGUCCGAAAUUCUCUCCUUCUUUUAUCACAAAAUUACCAAAAACUAACCAAAAUCCCUAUCCUCACUUCAUAUGCACUAAUGAAAGUCAAUUAGCCAAACCCUACCUCACUAGUCAUUAGCCAAGCCAAACUAACCUAAUGGAGUCUAGGGUUUCAUAAUCAAAAUCUGAUUUCACCAAAAUCUAACCAUACAAGAACAAUCAACACACCACAAAUUCCAUCUACAAGUCAAUUUCUCAAUCAAAGCAACUAAGGAAAGCAUUAAAGCAAGAAGCCUUAAUUUUUUUCUCUUUUGACCGAAUUUCCAACAGCCACAAAACACUAAAAUUAACCAUGAAACUUCAAUAUAAACAUCAAUUCCACCAUACAAAUCCAUAAUCACAACAAAAUACAUCACUUCCAUAGCUUAAAGAUUAGAAACCCCAAAAUUUUUCUUUCAAAGAAGAUGGCAUACCUUCAAAUGAGUUUGGGGAAUGAUCAAACUUCAACAAUCAAGCUUCUAAGUUGUUCCCUCAAGCUUCAAAGGCAAGAUGAAAGGCUAGAAGAACUUGAAGAAUUUCUUUCCUUUCUUUACUCUCUCAAUCUCAGCUCUCCUCUCUCUCUUUCUCUCCAAGUUUUGUUUUGUUUUGUCUUGUGAUUAUCUUACAAUCCUAAGGUAAUAAAUAGUCAAAGACAAUAGAAGAUAUUUAUUAGGCUAACCAAUCACAUAAAAGUGCUUUAUUUGCUUUGUAACCCUUGCACUUCAACUUAGCUUUUAUUCUACUCUUGCCCUCAAACAUUUGGUAAUGUUUCAAUUAACUCCAUAGGUCAUAACUUAAUCUGGUCUAAAACAUAUAAUCACACUUAAUUACUUUACUAAUCACUCUCUUAUCUUAAUCACCUAUACUUAAACAUACUUUUUCCAUAAUAAAAACAAUUAAACAACAACCUUUAGAACAUUGGCAAAAUUAGGGUUUUUAAACCCAUCUUAAGCUUUCUAAUAAAUUAUAACACUAGAGGUUUGCUAAUCCAGGAUUUGCUAACCAAUUCAAACUUGCUAAACCUUUGUAAACUAAACCGAAUCCUAGAUUUACUUAUUCCAAAACACACACUAGAAUACCGAAUAUAAAUUAUAGCUUGAACUUACGAAUAAUACAUAAACUAGGGUUUUCAAUCUUAACCGAGAUUAGGGUUCUCUCAUUAGCCCUAAAACCCUAAUAUCAACUUACAAACUGACUGGAGCCUCACAUCCACGCAAGUCACAAAUCACAUGAUAAGAAUUAAAGCAUUAACAUUUCUCCCUUACUCAAUUUCAUGCAUAAUUGUGUCCAUUUUAACUUGUAACAUAAUUACAUCAAAUUUUGCCUUUAAGCACUUCAAACCAUCUUUAAAAGACAUCCAUUCAGUAAAUUCUUGGUUACCUCUGUUGAAGGAGCUUUACACUUGAUAACCAUCCAUUGCCAAAUUUUCAUUUCUCAGGCAUUGUCCUCCAAAUUGAUCUAUUCUCCUCAUCACCUAAAAUUGCUUUUAAACAACUUAAGGGCAAGAUUAACAAGAAGAAUAGGUGAUAAAACACAUACACACAUAAAACACUAAAAUUCUAGAAAAUAACAUUCACACUAUAACUAAUAAAAUGUCUAAACUAAUAAAAUUGCUCUUCACGCCAAUAUUGCCAAAUCUUCCCUGGCAACGGCGUCAAAAACUUGAUGGGCGUAGGGUAUACAUAUAACAUUAAACUUAUCCUAAUCAAGUUUUACAUUUAUAAACUUCUAAAUACCCCACACGCGAUUUAUCGUAAGUAUACGAAUCGUGAGCAAGUAUAGGGUAUUAAGAGUCGAUCCCACAAGGAAAAUUGCAAUUACCGACACUAUUAAAGUUUCUCAAUUAUUUAGACUAUCAAUGAAUUAUAACAAGUAAAACUUACUGAACUUAUGCAAGAAAAUAACAAAUGAAACCUCUUUAGAUUGUGGUAUCCCUAACUACUCAUGCAAGUGCUAUAUUUGGAUCAUUGAAUAUUACUAUUUUGGCUAGUUAUGGUGUAAUUUCCUCAUGCAUGUGAAACCUACUUCCGUAGUGAAUCGACUAUACUCAUAACUAAUCCAUACCUAUUCUCAAGGUUAUGAAAUUAGUUACAAGUUCAUUUCUUCAAUGAAAUUACAUGAAAUUAAUCACUGAAACCACAUAGGUGCACCUCUACUCUCGUGAGUGUACUCCGUAUGUUUAGCACCUCUUGAACUAGUGUUAAAUCUCAAUUUUCAUUGCAGAAACAACACCUUAGAUACUCACAAUUAAUAGUAUCAGAUUAAUCAUGAUUUAAAGGGCCAAAGUGCUAAAUAACUUGCUCAAAUAAUAGCAAUCAAAUAACCAAGUAAUAAACACUAACAAUCAUAGAAAGUUCAACCGAACCCAAGGCAUAAAUUUUAAAGACACAUAUUGAACACAAAAUUCAGAACUUGCAUAUUAACUAUACUUAAGAAUCUAAUACAAAAGAUAAAGAGUUGGAGAAGAGAUAACCCAUGUUACUUGAGGUUCAACUCCUCCUUUUUCAUCUCCAUCUUCAUCCUAAUCUAGCUAACAUACAAGAAUGGAUAAACUAUACUAGUCUACACUGAUGCUAACCUAUCACUCAAAAGAUGAAAGAGCUACAUUUUUGCACUCUCCAAGUUCUCCCGUAUGUCUCUCUAUUCUCCCUUCAAUCUUGUAAGUUUUGGUUACAUAAAGAUGAAAGAUGGUCAAGAAAUGAGGCUUACACCUCCCUUUUACAGCUGGUAAUGUUUUUCACAUGUCUAGCAUUACAUGUGACUUAGUGGAGGUGAAAUUGAGUUUUCCGCAUAAAGAGCAGCCUUCUUUGACCACAAUCCGGCCAGAAAUUUGGCCACAAAUCUGGCCAAGUUCUUGCCGGAUUGCUACAGUGACAUUUUGGUGCACUUUUGUUCAAUUUCCAGCUCUGCUCUGAUUUUGCAUCAACUUCAACUGAACUUGUCUUCAUGAUAAAAGUUGAUUUUGUUCUUGACCAAAACAUAAAACUUGUAACCCUUUGAGUUAGCUUUCCAAUGCAUCAAGAAUCAUCUCAUUUGGAUCUGUGUAGGCUGAGAAAUGAUUGAAAUACCCUUGACUUCUCACUGCCCUAUUUCAGUUUCGACCAAUAGAAAUUGACUACUGUAAUUCAGCUUUUUGAACUGGAAACCCUUCAAACUGGAUUCAGAUGUCUUCACCAAAGUUAUAGAUUCAAAUUGGUUUAAGAAUUAUCUCAAUCUAAUCAUUGUAACUCAAGUUAUAGCCAAAAUACGAAAAUAUGUCAAAACUGUCAAAAUGCACAAAAUUCAAGUAAAAAGUGAUAAAAAUCUCAUUUAAUUACUUAAAGUAUUUUUCACCAAUUAUAGUCCAAAUAAUUUAUUUUCUUCCAAUAAUAUACUCAAAGUGACUAAAAAUAAUAUAAAAUGUCAUACAAUUAUUACGUAAAUUAGUCACUUAUCAACAACUCUCGGCCUUGUGUCUUUCCAAAGUUGGCCGAUUUUAAAACUCCUAAAAUAACUAGAAAAACCAUGAUUAAACAACUUAGAAUUGACUCACUAACAAAGACUACCAAUCUGACCAAAAUAUAAAACUUAUAACAAAUGACUAAGCUUACGGGCCCACGUCUUGUCGGAUACAAAUCUUCUGACCAAUAUCUUGAUCAAUCCGAAUUACAUUAACAAUGGAGGAUUAUCCUUGAGUAAGACCUUCAAUCGUCUUGGAACCUUCAAUUGCUUCUUGAAUAGCGCAAACCUAAGUGUUAGGUUGAUUGGCCAACUUAGCUUGUGAGCUAGUAACGUAUCCAAAUUGAAUUGGAUUAUCUUGAACUUGAUGGCAGCUCGCAUGUCCACAUUAGAAUUAUGCCACAAACACUUCCAAAAUACUUCCGGAUCUGUAUCACCAUUUGGCCUACAGAAAAGACAUGUUCAACCGAUUCACUUGUCGCGCCCCACUUUUUGAUUGUGGUGAAAGUAGUGUGUAGGAUAUGUAUGUGAACGUGUGUGAAAGUGAAAAUAAAAGGCCGUGGGAUUGUGAAAUGCGACAGUUUGGCCAAAAAUAUAGUUCAAAAAGGGUUUUUGAAUGGAAAAUGGAGUCGCCACUUGGUAUAGAGUUAGGGUGUACCAAGUCACCCAAAAUGAUUUUUUGUUUUUGAAAGAAAAAAGUAAACAAACCCUUUUAAAGAAUUUUUUAGGUCUACGUAACCAAAAAAAGGGAUCGGGAGUCACAUUUGAUAAGGGAGAAGGCAAAGGCAAAGCCUAAGGCACUCCCUUACCCUAGCCAAAGCUAGUUGCGUGACUUAGCCCCACUUUUCCUAAUUCUUCUACCCAAAAUAUGCGUUGAAUGUUGGAUGUGACUAAUGGACAUGAAAACAAAUGCAAUCCUAAAUCUAAAAUGUUUCUUAUGAGGCUUUUUGGUCCCAACCACAUGAAUUGUGAUGGCCAGUAAGGAAAGCCCUCAUAGGAGUCAUGCAUAAUGCAAAUGAAGACUCAAGUAUGAGUGUAAGUGUGCAAAUGUAAGAAGAGUGCAUGUAUGCAAAUGUAAGAAAAUCAAGGCAUGUGUGUGCCAAUUGAGAAAAUAAAGGUGUUUGUGUGCAAGUGGAUGAAAAUAUGGUAGUAAAUAUAUAAGUGCAAUUGAGUGCAAUUCAUGAGGUAGAAAAUAAAUAAAAGAAAAAGAAUGUGUAAACAUGGCAUGUGGAUUGCGAAAAAUAUAAGUAGUGAGAAAAUGUGGAUAAAAAAGUGAGGAGGUGAUAUGAUAGAAAUGAAAGUGUAUGAAUCUAGAGGAAUGCAUCAAGUUGGGUACGGGAAUGACUCCUAACUUCACGACUUUAAUUUUCCCUUUGAUUAGAAGGAAAGACUAGCGUGCUAAGGCUAUUUUGUAGCCACACUCGCUCGUUUCCCUUACCGAAAGGGGACCCACAAGCAAAUGUACCCUAUAACUAACAUGAGGAUGCAAAAACCUAAAAUGAAGGGCAAAGGAUUGGAGGAGUAUGCCAAAUGCUAGAAAACUAAGAAAAAUGUAUGAAAUGUAGUGAAACAUGCAAGUAUGCACUAACGAGAGGGGACGGCCUAUUGGGUCUAGCAUUGGACUAGCCCUUUUUAAGAAUUCCUACUGGCAUUGGACUAGUGGAAAGCGGGACAAUGAGCCACAACUAGCAUUGGACUAGUGUGGUGACAUGCAUUCAUCCAUCAUAUUCAUCUACGACUAUAGAAAGCAAGUAGACAUGCCAAUCGCCUAUAAACACGUAGCACAUAACACUUAGCAUGCUCGACUAAAUGCAAGAGCCUAAUAAAGCAAAUUAACACAUAGCAACAAAAGCAAGCAACCAAGCUAAUGAACCUAUUACAUUUGCUAGCUAGGCACACGUCUUCAGUAGGUUUUCGUCCAAUGCUCCCCAAGCCCUAUCUAUUACAAGCCAAGAGGUAUACACAUACCUCAUAAAAGAAUAACUUAAUAAAAGCAAAAGUAAAUGAAAUAAAUGAAAGGGAUCAAGGAAAGGCAAGGAAAGCAAAGUAGACAUGCAAUUCUCAUUUAGCACGUUGGAUCACAUAGGGGAGAGACAAAAAGAUAAAAGAAGUUAUACCUCCCUUGAGUUGAUGCCCUAAAUGGAGUGAAAUCACUUAUUUAUCCUCCAAAAUAAAAGAAAAUGUCAAGGUACCAAUUUAAUUGAGAAAAAUUAAAAGAAGUGCGCAAAUACGAAGCUCACUUGAUCGUAAAACCCCUAAAGUCAUGACUUAAGUACAAUUGAAACAAAGCAUAGUAGUCAAUUGAAACAAACAAGCAAUGAAGUUGUAGAAUUAAAAUUGCCAAUGACCAAAUUGAGGAAAUUAUUCAAUUGAUUGGGUCAUAGCAGCAUUAUGAAUAAUUUAGAGGGACUGAAGUGCAAUAUGCAGAAAUAGAUUCAUGCAUGCAACGAAGGCUGAAACCUUCUUCACUUCUACGAAUUUCUGCUGCAAGUUCUUGCAGCUUCAAACCAUGCGUGUUUCACACCAGAAAAUGCACAAAAACCCGGACCAUCAAGCAACCAAGGUACUAGACAUCCAUACAAGGAUUUUCGAGGCAACAUCAUGCAACCCAUGAAGAUGCUCGCUGCAAUUCAAACUUGCUACCAUUUUACUUUCGCACCCAAACUUCAGAUUCAAACGCACGCUUUAAUCAAACUUUCUUCACUAAACAUCGAAGCUCUAAUCUAGAUAGUAAGACCACUGGAAUUUAACAUCUAAACAUGCAAAACUGAGUCCCAGAAUAGGAUUACUAGCUUUGUAGUUUUGUCCUUUAUGAUACCCUUUCACUGCAACAUUUCUGGUUGCUGGUUUUUUCAAUUUCCGACACUGAACAAUACGGCAACCAUUUACGCGCAUGAACUCCAACAAAAGCCAACCAUUUGCCAAUUUAUCACCAUAAAAGGUCAAGCAAACAGAUCAAAACCCAUUCAAAGCCCCCGGCAAAAUUGUCCAUUCCCGAAAGAUCCAAACAUGCUACUAGCCGUGGAAAUGUAGGAAAGAAAGAAAAGAACUUGCGGCAAAUUCAUGCAAGAUACCACAAUCAAACAACAAGCAGAUUUCAUGCUUCAGAUAGACCAAAAGUUUCAGCAACCCCAAAAAAAACUCUGUUAACAUUGUUGCAAUCAGCCAAGGUUAUGCAAUUCAUGUCGAGAGAGCUAUUGACAAGAAACUAGGAGGGAAAAAGAACGAAGCUUUUGAUUCAUAAUUGCAAGAUUAUCAUCAUUACCCUCUCAUUUCCUCUGUCAAAACCCAUCAGAAACUAACAAAAAUGCAUCAGGUGAUUGAAAAUACCAGCACUUAACUAAUGUUCAUGAAGAUCUGAACGAUGAAGUUACAACCAUGACCAUAAAACAUUGACAGCCAGCAAAUAACGCAAGACUCAUGUCUUGUGGAUUUGAACUCUCAUGAAAAAUGGUGUUAAGACUAUCAAAAAGGAGGAUCUGUGGUUACCUUAGAGGGGUAAUAUGAAUGUACAACGCCCCAGGAAGUCGCUCUGAUUCAAGAAAGGAAGACGCAAGCUUCGUCGCUGAUGCUCCAAGAUUGAUGAAGGCGCCAGUUUGUGGCCAGAUUUGACGAGCUUCUGGUGGUGUUUCCCUCCAGAUGUUUGAACAGAAAUCGCUCCCAUCACUUUGUAGAUUGAGCCGAAAUUGAUGGCUUCACGAAUAAAGCUGGGUCGGGGAAGAACAUCUUUGCGAAGGCAGGCUGAAAGAUCAGCUUUGUUGCGGGUUUCGCAGAGGAAUUCCCUGCGUUUUUUCCUUUUCUGGUUCUCUUGCCGAAGCUUUCCUUUCUGGUUCAGAUCUCCUUCCUCCUCUCCAGCUUUCUCUCUAUCUCAAAACCUAGCCGUCACUCCCCAGAUUUUUCUUAGCCGACAGAUUCUCUCAGAUUUUUCCCUACUCUCCCUUCAGCCCUCCACAGCCGUUACUCUCCUCCAGUCCGUCCAACUAGAUUCUCCUCCUCCGGUUUCUAGCUUUUCCCCCAGGCCUUAAAACCCUCAGCUCUCAUUUGUUUCUUGCUCAAACCCCAGCCAUCAUCCGUCCUUCCUUCUGGUCUCUCCCUUUUUCCGUCAAAACCUCUCAGCCGUUCUUACCCCCCCAGAUCCUUUUUUUUUUCUACAGCCGCCAACCCCUUGUUUUUGUUUUCCUCUUUCCUUUUAUAUGGGGAACCAUAACCCCUAAACCCUCACCUUAAUGGUGAGGAUGAAAGGUUUGUUUCUACUCUAUCCCCCAGCCAUCCGAUCCAUUGAGCCAAGAAUCCUCUUGUGAAAAAAUGAUGUUUAUGCCGCAUGCAUGCGCGGCUCUAUUUCCUCUUUUUUUUUUUGAAAAGUAAUUUAACUAAAAUGAAAAUAAUAUUAAGUAAAAAAAACAACAAUUUAACUAAAAUGAGACAAAAAUAAAUAAACUAGAAAUAAAAGACAACAAAGUUGCGAUUUUUCCAUUUUUCUUUUCUUUUCUUCAUUUUUUCAUUUUCAUAGUUUUUUUUUUCUUUUUCAAGAAAACAUUGAAUUUAAAACAAAUAAAGCAUAUUUUUUUUUGAAUGCUUUUUCUUUUCCUUUUUUUCCCGAGAAAUUCUAUGCUAAAAAAAAACUUAAAAAUAAAAAUAAUAAAAAUAAAAACUAAAAAAACUAAAAACUAAAAAGUGAAUAAAACUAAAACUAACACGGCAAAUAAAAACUAAAAAAAUAAAUAGUAAAUGAAAUUACACUAAAAUUUUGGUGUCUACAUCACUCAUAGCAAUUGAAUAACAAAAACACUCAGAAGGCAACUGCCAACCAAACUUGCUCAAAAUGUCAUCCAAAGGGAUCCUCUCCAUUAACAAUCGCAACAUAAAGAGUGAUACUUUUAAAGGAAUUCUAGGAUGCCAGAACUGAGAAUAAGUAAACGAAGUAUUUCAUGCUUGCCUAACCUCCUGAAAAACAGAGGAUAAAUAAAAUUUUCCUGACUUUGUAGGCAUCCAAAUAACCUCAUCAGAACCUCCAGCAUACGAGAUAGGGUGCUGUAAAAUGAGAUGAACAAGUUUUGCUGGCAUCACUUGACUAACCAAUUGUGCAUUCCACUUACCAUUUACAAUGAAAUAAUUAAAUGAAAGGUUUGGAACUACCAGAAUUUUGAAAAAUAAAACUGCACUACCAAACCAAUUAUCAAACCAAAAAUGACAAGAUGUAUCCCCAUACAAUAUUUCACAAGUACGAAAGAUGUCUGAAGAAGCGCUGAGCUUCCCCAAACCGAGCUGACCUGACGAGCUCGGCGUGCUAAUGAGAAAAGCGUGUCCCAAGCCUGCAAAGCGAACAAGAGAGUGGUCAAACAGGGGAGCCCCGAGGUGGUCCCCGGGGGCACUCCGACGGUCAAGUUAGUUUUCUGGUGAGUGAGGUUCACGGGAAGUAAAACAGUCGGGAGUAAUUGGCGAAUAGUGAGCGUACCUUGUGUAGCUGGUAUGCGUUACCAUUUAUACCUGCUCGAGAGUCCAACCUCCGUAUGUUUCGGGACUUACCCAGUAUAGCCUCAAUCCCGCGCUGAGGGGGAUUUUCCCCACCCUCUGCGGGAUCGUUUCCCGAAGCCUCUCGGAGCCCUAGUGGUGACGUGUCCCAGGACAGUUGUCAGGGGCCUGGGGUCCAAGCCCAGCUCUGCCAUUCCUGGGCUGCCACGUGUCCAGGCCCAAGACGGGGCCUCUGCACUAGUCCCCUAGAUUAGGUAGGGCUUCCAGGCUGACCUAAUCUAUACCCCAGCCACGUGAGAGACCAGCGUCGCACACUACUCUGACAGGGUCACCUCCGGUACAGCAUUGUUACUAAAAAGCAGAGCUCAUGUCCUUUCAGUUGUCGCGUCUCUUCGGUCUCCGUACCUUUUUUAAAUGCGUUCACAUGGGGCGGUUCAAAUUCAAGCAGCCGUUUCCUCCCAUUUCAUUCCCUAUAAAUAGGGGCUUCCGGAUUUCCUCUGACUCUAUUUGCCAUUUUUCUUUCCUCGUGCAUUUUCAAUUUCCGGCGGCAAGACUUCCGGCUCUUAGUGCCCAGACUCCGGCGAUUCCCUUAUUUUCCCCAUUCUACUCACCAGUAAGUCCUUUUCCUUCCUCCUUCACUCUUUUUUUCCUUUGCCGUCUUCUGCUUUUUAUGUCGGAUCGGUCCGGUGUCACUUCCACUGCUUCUCGGAUUCCUGCCCACCGUAGAGCCCCUAGGAUUCUCAUUUCUUCUUCAUCUUCAUCACCCCCUCCUCCUCUUUCUUUCUCUUCUGCUUCUAAUUCUAGCUUCUGCGUUCCUGAUUUGCUUGAGCCCAUAGUCAUCAUGAGCUCUCCAUCCGCCCACUCUCCUUCUGCUCGAAUCUUGAAGGAGGUGGCCGAACUCGAUGCUCUCAUCGAGCAGCAGGCCACUUCUGUUCCCUCCCCCAAGUCUCCACACGACUCUCCUAGUGGAGCCCAAGGAGGAGCUGGGGAGGACAGGGACUCCUCCGAGGAGACCCCUGCUUCCGAGCAGGGGGAUGAUCCUGGAUUCGACUUCAGUCAUCCUGACCAACAAGAGGUCACCCUCUCACCCGAGGUAGUGGUCGAACUGGCCGGGUCUUUUUCUAUUCCUCCGGCUUUCGAACCGAGGGCUGCCGGACCCAACGACAGGGCCAGCCGACCUCCCCCUGGUUUCGUGGCCAUGUAUAGGGAGCAGCUGGUCGCGGGGUUCCACCUCCCCAUUCCUCCAGUCCUAGCAGAGAUCUUGAGCUACUGGGGACUCAGGGUCACCCAAGUCCACCCCAACUCGAUCAGAAUCAUUCUUGGAUUCCUGAUCUACUAUCAGAUCUGCUUCAUCCCCUGCUCUCUCUCCCUUUUCCGAGUUUCUAACACCCUCAAACUCUCCCUCCCAGGGUGGUACUACUUCUCCCGCCGAACUAUGGGCAAAGUUCGGGUGAGAAAGGGCACCCAGGAUCUCCUCUUCGGGGUCCCCUCCUCCAUAAAGAAUUGGAAGGGGGAUUUCUUUUUGUCAAAUCCACACAUUUUUUCCCCAAUGUGUGGAAGGUCGGGGAGGUCAACUCCGACCCGUAUCCGGAGGACUUGGACUCUGAGACCCUCAGCUAGCUGGUGAGCUCCAAGGUGAAACUCUACGCGGCCAGGUUUUCCUCCGAGCAGAUAUCUGCGGCCGGGCUGAUGGGGACGUUAUCCGGGUCCCCUGGAGAGGUGGAGCCGUCCCCUACCGAUUACGACACCUGUAAUGCCGCCUUUGUGCCCCUGUAGUCCGCUACUUUCUUUUUCUUUUACUAACCUGUUCGUACUAACCUGGUGGUGUUUCCUGUAGUGAGGAGGCUUUUCAAUCUGCUGGGCACGCCUUCCGAGCCGAUCACUCCCACUCCACAGUCAGAGGCCGCCAAGAAGGCCUCUCCGACUCCUGGGGGCAGCUCGGACCCCCAGAAGGAAGCAUCGUCCCCCUCCAAGCAGGUCGCCAGCAAGAAGAGAGCGGCCGGGCAGAAGAGGGGCCGAGGGGACGAAGCCCUCCAGCCCGAGAAGAGGCUCGCUCACACCCCAGCUCAACCCCCUCUCCUGAUGACGUCGGGGGGCGCUUCUCAUGCGGGUCCGGUCCACUUGGGAGUCGGCUAUGCAGAGGAGCACGCGCGGGAGAUGCUGCCCCCUAGUCUAUGGCACUUCCGCCACGUCGCCCCCGUGAAGCCGGGCUAGGCCCUCUCCAUGCACGACUCCCGCCACUUCUGUCCAUCUUGGGGGCUAUCCAUCAACGACCGAGCCCAGUUCCCCCAGGUGGCUCGCGAGCUAGUCACGGGCUCGGUCCUCCUGCGUGACAGGAGGUGGAUGGAGCUAGUGAGCUCGUCCGAGCUCCAAGACAUGUACUUCACUGCCCAGACUCAAGUAAGUUCCCUACCUUUUAGGCCACUCGCGCAUCUGAUUUCUGGCUAAGACGCGCAGUGUGCUAAUUUCCUUUUCCUCUCCUCUCCUCUGGCCAAUGCUGCUGGAGCUGCCCUGACAACCUGCUUCUCCGAGCUGUCUCCCGACAUGAAGAAAUUGCAGAAAAAGAAUCGGGAGACAGAGCGAAGGCUUGCCCAGGCCCUUAAGGAGACGGACUCCCUUAAGGCCAAGUUGGGCAAGGGCGAGAAGGAGCUGGAAACUGCUCAGGUCCAGCUAGCCUCUACCAGGUCAGAGCUGGACCAGGAGAGGAUGGGUGUGGCGAAGCUGAAAGAGGACCAUCCCAUCGAGCUCUCCGGCACCGUCAGCCGGGAGCGCAGGAAGGCUGUUCGAGAGUUCAUCUCCUCCGAACAGUUUGCCGAGGAUGUCGAUCUCCUCAACCAGCCCAUCCUUCAGGUCGGCUUCACGCGAGCCCUGGAUCAGGUCAAGGAGCUCGGCCUACCUGGCUUCGACUUGGCUGCGUUCAAGGACUACAAUCCUGCCGCCGAGGAGAAGAUAGACUGGCUCUUCGACGGGUAAUGCAAGGGGCAUGCCCUGAAGAAGCUGGUGGACCGGAGCGACGUGGGAGCCGAGCUGGCAGAGGUUCCCUUGGAGGAAGACGAGGCUCCCGGCCGGGCUUUCGGGAAGGAGCCGGUGGCUUAGGGGUGUCUAGGGGGGCCGAGCUGUACAUAGCUAGGUUUUCAUAUCUGAAGAGGCGCUGAGCUCUCCAUCUGGAGUAGAGAGAAAGCAUAUCUUCCCCAGCGUGAAGGGUGCGGAUAUCUAGCAUCACCAACUCUCUCAGUAUAUGAAACCUGCUGCCGUGUUUUCCUCAUGUCAGUAGUCACCUGCAAGAGGUUUGUCCGCCUAAGGGUAGCGACCACUCUACAAACCCUUUCCAUUUUCCUCUUAUAGCUCGGUAGACUUUGUAAUAGAUAGGUUGUAUAUACCUAAUUCGAAUGGAAUUAUCUAAUCUCGAUUUGCAAUUCUCGCCUGCGCCAACUCUAACAAUUAAGGCCAUAUGCCGACCUCCCGGGUCGAGCACCAAAUAGACCCAUCAAGACGGCGUGCCGACCUCUUGGGCCGAGCAUCUAUCACAUUUUAAUCUAAUAACUAAAUUGUCAAGGACAAUCAGACUGGGGAAUCAACAAACUUCAUCAAACUAAUUUUCGUCGUGCCGAUCUCUUGGGCCGAACAUCAAACUUUAAAGGCAGUCAUGCCGACCUCCUGGUCGAGCGUCAAGAUUUUAAAGAUAGUCCUGUCGACCUCCUGGACAAUCAGACUGGGGAAUCAACAAACUUCAUCAAACUAAUUUCCGUCGUGCCAACCUCCUGGGCCGAGCAUCAAACUUUAAAGGCAGCCAUGCCGACCUCCUGGAUCGAGCGUUAAGAUUUUAAUGAUAGUCCUGCCGACCUCCUGGGUCGAGCAUUAAACUUUAAAGGCAUUCCAUCCAUUACCAUUCACCCCCAGCCCCCCACUAGGACACUUAGCAUUGUUUGAAUGUGCUAGCGUAGGAUCCAAACUUAAAAGUUAAACUGUGUUGAUAAAAGGAAGGUUCAAAGACAAUCAUUUAUUUAAUGAUGAACUUGUAUGCGAAUUCUGAAGAAUAGACAGUAAGAUAUCCUAGCCCAAUCUAGCCUACGAACAACCGCAAGUUCGAGAAGUGCCAAGUACGGGGUACUUCCGCUCCAUCUAAUUUCGCAAGCCUGCAGUACCCAACUCGGCUUGCCUCCAGGACCUUGUACGGUCCCUCCCAGUUCGGGUCGAGCUUGUUGGAACUGUGGGCUCGGCUGACAGAGUUCCUUCUUAUGACGAGAUCUCCUGGCUGGUGCUGCGUGUUUCUCAUUUUUGCGUUAUGAUAGCGGGCGAGCUAGCUUUUUUACUUAGUCAUCCGUAUCGCCGCUUCCUUGCGCUUGGCCUCCAGCAUGUCCAAGUUACAUCUCGACUCUUCUUCGUUGGCUGGCGCAACGAAGUUCUGUGUCCGAGGCGAGGGGAGGCUGAUCUCCGCGGGCACCACCGUCUCUGCCCCAUAAGUCAGGGAAAACGGGGUCUCCUGAGUGGGCGUCCUCGGAGUGGUGCGGUAGGCCCAGAGGACACUAGGAAGCUCAUCUAGCCAGUUAGACUGAGCCAACUCCAACCUAGUCUUUUAAUCCUAGCAGAAUGGUUCGGUUAACGUUCUCUACUUGGCCAUUUGCCUGGAGAUGACCGACCGACGUGAAGUGUUGGCUGAUCCCGAGCUCGGUGCACCAGUUUCAGAAGGGGUUUUAGACGAACUGCCGCCCAUUGUCAGAUAUCAAGACAUGUGGAAUCCCGAAGCGGCAGACUAUGUUCUUCCAGAAGAAUUCUGAACUACCUUUCCAGAGAUAGUGGCCAGGGGCUCGGUCUCGAUCCACUUUGUAAUAUAGUCGAUGGGCACCACGAGGUGCUCGUACCUUCCGGGAACUCGGGAAAAGGGGCCCAAAAGGUCUAUUCCCUACAGGGCAAAGGGCCAAGAACUAUGGAUGGGGACCAUCGCCCGAGUGGGCUGGUGACACAGCUGGGCGUGCACCUGGCAAGCUCGGCAUUUCUGAACUAGAGCCGCGGCAUCUCGAAACACUGUGGGCCAAUAGUAGUCUAAGAGCAGACACUUUUUGGCCAAUACCCGGGAUCCCACAUAUGCCGCAUAUAAGCCUUCGUGAACUUCACGGAGGAUGUAGUCGCUCUCCUCAGGAGUUACGCACUUUAACCAGGGAGACAAAUACGACCUCCUGUAGAGGGUCCCCCCAGAAUAGGCGUACUUGGCAGUUUUGAGCUGGAGUCGGCGAGCCUCGGUCUUGUUCUCGAGGAGGACACCCGAGUUGAGGAAGUUCAAGAGGGGAGUCAUCCAGGAGGCCGGGCUGUCUAUAGCCAAGACCUGGACCUGGUCAAUGCCUCUUUGCUUAACGACCUCCACCAAGACUUCCUUGCUCAGGUGAGCAAACGAGGAGGACGCUAGCUUCGACAGGGCGUCCGCGCGCUUGUUCUGCGAUCUCGGCACCUAUUCGAUUUCAAAAGUGUCGAACAGGGCUAUCGUCUCUCGUACCUUAACCAAAUAUUUCUUCAUGACGUUCUCCUUGGCCUCAUACUCCUCGCGGACUUGGUGGACUACGAGUUGGGAAUCGCUCCAGACCUUGAUCGCGGCUAUACCCAUCUGGUGGGCUAUCCACAAUCCUGUCAGUAAGGCCUCGUACUCCGCCUCAUUACUGGAUGUCGGGAAGUCGAAUCUGAGCGCAUAGGUCAGCUCUUCCCCGGUGGGCUAGGUGAGCAGCAGGCCGCCUCCGCUCCCUUCUUUACUUGAGGCCCCGUCCACAAAUAGUACCCACGGCCCUUCCAACCGUACCUCAUUGGGCAAAGAGCUCGGCUCAGCCACGGACAAACUGGCUCCCUCAGCAAGGAAGUCUGCCAGGGCUUGAGCUUUGAUAGCGGUGUGAGGCUGAUAGCUGAUGUUGUGCUCGGCCAACUUGACGGCUCAUUUGGUCAUUCUGCCCGAGACCUCAGGUUUUGUGAGUAUCUGACGUAAGAGCUGAUCCGUCAAGACAACAAUGCUGUGGGUCUGGAAAUAAGGUCGGAGUUUCCGGGCGGCAUGCACCAAGGCGAGGACUAAUUUCUCUGCCGGUGUGUACCGCGUUUCCGGCCCUUGUAAAGCACGGCUGACGUAGUAUAUUGGCCUCUGAGCCCCUUUGUCCUCCCACACCAAAACCAUGCUAACGGCCUCGUUGCAAGCAGAUAAGUAUAGGAACAGGGUUUCUCCCUGCUCCGGGGCGAUCAAAGCAGGCAGCUCAGCCAGGUAUGCCUUUAGGUCGACGAAGGCUUUCUGGCAUUUCUCAGUCCAUUGAAAGUCCUUAGGUGCUUUCAGGAUUCGAAAGAAGGGUAGCCCCCUUACCGCGGAGCGCGAGAGGAAUCUAUUCAGGGCGGGCAUCCUUCCCGUGAGCCGUUGGACCUCCUUGACGCUCCUUGGAAGGGCCAUGUCCAUGAUGGCCUGGAGCUUAUCCGGAUUGGCCCGGAUCCCCUUCCGGGAGACCAAGAAACCCAGGAACUUUCCCGAUAUAACCCUGAAGGUACAUUUUUCGGGUUCAGCCGCAUCCGGGUUUCUCACAGGAUGUUCAGGAUUUCCCUCAGGUCGGGAACGAGCUGCUGGUCAGUUCGACUCUUGACGAUCAUAUCGUCCACGUAGACCUCCAUACUCUUGCUGAUCUGAGUUUGGAAUAGUGGACCAGGCGCUGGUAGGUAGCUCCAACGUUUUUCAAUCCAAACGGCAUUGUCCGGUAGCAAUACGUUCCUUCCUCAGUGAUGAAGGAAGUAUUUUCCCGAUCCUCCUCGGCCAUCUCUAUCUGGUGGUAUCCCUUGAAGGCAUCCAAGAAACACAAAACAUCAAAACCCACAGUAGAGUCUACUAACCUGUCGAUCCUCGGCAAGGGGAAGCAAUCCUUUGGGCAGGCCUUAUUGAGGUCUAUGAAGUCCACGCAUAUCCUCCAAGACUGGUCCUCCUUCUUCACCAGGACGGGAUUGGCUAACCAGGUCGGGUAGUAUAUCUCCACGAUGAUUUUGGAUUCUAGCAGCUUGCCGACCUCCUUCUUAAUCACCUCAUUCCUUUCUGGGGCGAAACUCCUCUUCUUCUGCUUCACCGGCUUGAAGCGGGGAUCCACGUUGAGGUGGUGGACGGCCAGGUCAGUCGGAAUCCCGGGCAUGUCUUCAACCGUCCACGCGAAAACUUGGGAAUACUUCCUCAGCAGGGCCUUCAAACCCUCCUUCUCCUCAGAGGGUAGCAGCACACCGAUGCGGAGGGCCUGGUCGGGCCGGUCCUCCCUCAAAGGGAACUCCUCGAUCUCGUCCUGGGUGCCCAACUGUCGAGCCUCCUCCCCCGGGAUGUAGGGCUCCAAACUGGUCGUUUGGAUAACCACCUUCUCAUGUCCCCGGAGCAUGGCCAAGUAGCAAACUCUAGCCACUUCUGAAUCUCCAUGCACCUCGGUUAUCCCUCUCGGGAUGGGGAACUUGACGCUGAGGUGGAGCGAAGAGGGAAUAGUUUGGAGGGCGUUCAAGGCGGGCCGACCCAAAAAUACAUUGUAUGGGGAUGGCUGCUUGACCACCACGAAAUUGACAGGGAUUGUCCGGCAUUUGGGUGACUGCCCUACCGUAACCAUCAGAGUGUUCAUUCCUUCCGGAUUGAUGGGUGAUCCGGUGAAGCCCACCAGGGGUGUCCGAACCGGGGUCAACUGUCCAUCUUCCAAGCCGAGCUCUCUGAACACCCGAUAAAACAGGAUGUCCACUGCGCUCCCUUGAUCGACAUACACCUUCUUCACCCGAUAGUUGUUGGUGACGACGUCUAUCACGAUGGUCUCGUGAUUCCCGGAUGCCAGGGAAAUCGCAUCCUUUGGACCGAAGGUGAUCUCUUCGUCCAUGCGCAAGCGCUUCAGGGAAUCAUCCCCCUCGGGGAGAGGUCGCUUGUUCUUCCGAGCUGCAUGGCUGUCCCCUCUCGUGGGAUCCCCAACGAUGGUGUUUAUCACCCCUGCUAAGUUCUGUCCUGGUCGGAGGAGUUGCCCCGAGGAACGUCACGCCGCUCAGGGCGGUUGCAACGCUGGCUCUCGCCCCUGUUUCCGAGGUAGGUGCGUCCCGGCUCCUGGCCCGGUUGACCUUGCCGCACGUAUCGUCCCAGGAAGCCGCGCUGGAUCAAAUCCUCGAUCUCCUUCCGCAGGGUCCAGCACCCCUCCGUGUCAUGCCCAACGUCUCGGUGGAAGGCACAGUACCGGUCCUGGUUCCUCUUGUUCCGGGAUGUCCCCAUCUUAGGCGGCCGUUCCCCCAGACCCUCCACCUCCAUGACGGCUAGGAUUUGGGUUCUAGGCCGAGUCAGGGGGUGUACCCUUUUUCCGGAAGCGACGGCUGAGCGGGGGCUUUCUCCUUGGAUAGUCGGUCGAAGACGUUCUUCUUGGCCGGGCCGUCCUUGUUUUCGAGAGGAUUUCCCCGUCCUCUCCGAUCGCCGAGCUCUCGAUCCGACUCCCUCUUCAAGCGUGCCGCCUCCUCUGCGUUAGCGGCUGCGUGCGCCCUGGUCAAGAGCUCCUCUAGGUCUCCAGGAGGCUUUUCAGCCAACUUGUAGAAGAGCUCCUCUGCCCUGAGCCCAUUCAUGAAGGCGGCCAUCACCACCUUUUCAUCCUUGUCCCUGAUCUGCAAGCUCUCCGUGUUGAAGCGGGCCAUGAAAUUCCUUAGGGACUCGUCCGGCUUCUGCCUGAUUGCCAUCAGGUGGGCCGCAUUCUUCGAAUAAAUCUUUGAAGAGACGAACUGGGCGACGAACUGCCUGGCCAGUUCAGAAAAACUUCGGAUGGACCCCGGUGCCAAACCUUGGAACUAGAGCCGGGCCCUCCCCUUCAGGAACAUCGGGAAAGUCUUGCAACGGGCUUUAUCCGCAGCUGUCUGUAAACGCAUGUGCAUGAGGAAGACCGAGAGGUGGUCUUUCGGGUCGGUCGAAAUAUCGUACAACUCAAUGUUCGGGAUCUUGAAUCUCCGAGGUAGCAGGUAGUCCUCUAUCCCCCGAGUAAAGGGCGAGGCCGUGUAAUUGUCCUCGUACAAUUGCGACCGCAAGAUCUGCUCGAAUUCGUCCCGGACAGGUUUCCACGGGGGAAGGUUACGCAGGCGACUCUUGACAGAUCGAUCGGGGGAGCGUUCGGGCUUGUUCCGCGCAGGCUUCCACGGGGAGGGGUUUCUCGGUCGGCCCCCAACGGACCGGUCGCGGGAGUAUCUCUCGCUAUCCCCGACUACCGAGGCCCGUGGGCGAGGAGAAGUCCGUGGCCGUUUCCUCUUGGGGGGCUGGUCUCGGGACUCAUCCUCCGAGGGGUCGGGGGGUGAUUCCUUCUCCUUCCCCUUCGCCUUGGAGAUCUGCGCGCCUCCGGCUUCGCCUCCCUCCUUCGCUUGUCGGAUCAUGUCUUCCAACAUGGGGAGGUUCUCCGACACGAACUGAAGGAUCUGCUGUCUCCGUUCCCCUGAAAGGGCUGAGCCCCCGGCGUCCCGUGCAGCCUCGGUCUCCCUUCGCCGGGAUCUCUCGCCGGCUCUGGGGUUGGUGGUCUCCAUGGUUCGCUUGGAACGCAUUCUCGCUAUCAACACAAUUACACUUUAUCUUUCGGUUCCCACAGACGGCACCAACUGAAGAAGUGCUGAGCUUCCCCGGACCGAGCUGACUAGACGAGCUCGGCGUGCUGAUGAGAAGAGCGUGUCCCAAGCCUGCAAAGCGAACAAGAGAGGGGUCUAACAGGGGAGCCCCGAGGUGGUCCUUGGGGGCACUCCGACGGUCAAGUUAGUUUUCCGGUGAGUGAGAUUCAAGGGAAGUAAAACAGUCGGGAGUAAUUGGUGAAUAGUAAGCGUACCUUGUGUAGCUGGUGUGCGUUACCAUUUAUACCUGCUCGAGAGUCCGACCUCCGUACGUUUCGGGACUUACUCAAUAUAGCCUCAAUCCCGCACUGAGGUGGAUUCUCCCCGCCCUCUGCGGGAUCGUUUCCCGGAGGCUCUCGGAGCCCUAGUGGUGGCGUGUCCCAGGACGGUUGUCAAGGGCAUGGGGUCCAAGCCCAGCUCUGCCAUUCCUGGGCUGCCACGUGUCCAGGCCCAGGAUGGAGCCUCUGCAAGGCCCAAAGAGAUGAUCCUGUACGAAAGUUCCACCAUAACUUAGAAGAAAAGAUGUGUAAACAUCCUCAAGCAAAAGGAAUCUCACUCCACCCUCCUAUACUGGAUAACAUAAAUGAGACCAGUGAAUCCAAUGAAACUUUCUUCCGCCUAUAGUAGAAACCCAUAGGAAAUUGGAACAAACCUGCUCUACAACUUUGAUAAUUGAUUUUGGCAAAACUGUUGCGGAUAACAAAUGAAUUGAGAUCGAAGCAAGCACAUGCUUAAUUAGAAUUAUCUUUCCUCCCGAAGUUAAGAACUUUGAUUUCCAAGAAAGUACUCUAUGAAGAAUAGAUUGCCCCACCUCCCCAUAAUAUGAUAUCUUACAUCUCCCUAGAUAUAGGGGAAAACCCAAAUAAUGAACUGGAAAAUUCUGCCUAGGAAAUUUAGUCACUCGUUCAAUAACCCUUCUCCGAGCAAUUGACAAUCUAGGAUGCACCAAGUAGCCACUCGUUCAAUAACCCUUCUCCAGAGCCCUUUUGAUACAUUUCCAACACCUGCAUGAUGCUCUUUAGAGAAGUAUAAGAUCCAUUAGCAAAGAUAAGCACAUCGUCAGCAAAUGCCAAAUGAGUUACCGGAGGACAACCAUACGGCACUCCAAAACCCACAAAACCGAACUUAGCAACAAGGUCAUUAGGUGCUCUCAAUAGAACCUUUGCCCCAAUAACAAACAAAGCAGGCGAUAAAGGGUCCCAUGCCAUAGACCCCUACUAGAUUUAAAUCCAUACACCACACCAUUAUAAUAACCGAAAACCACACAUUGGAGAUCAACCUCCAAAUCAUAUCUUUGAAUCGUUCCCCAAAACCAAACUUGCUAAUACAUUUACCAUAAAACCAAGACACACGAUCAUAUGCUUUGGACACAUUCAAUGCUACAUUUCCUCCUCUAUACAUUUUCCCAAUCCCAAUCAUAAUUUCUUGAGCUAGCAAAUAAUUUUCUCUAAUAUUACGGCCCUUUACGAAUCCAAUCUGUUUUUUUGAAAUAAUUUUUGGCAAGGUGAAAAAUAAUCGAUCUACUAAAAUUUUGGAUAAAACUUUAUCGUAAAAAUUGUAAGACUAAUAGGGCAAAACUAAGAAAAAUCCUGAGGGCUAGAAACCUUUGGAAUCAAAACAAUAGCAAUAGAUUUAAUAAACUGAGGCAAUUUUGCUCCACAAAAAAAAAACUCAAAAUUUCAAACACUACUUUCCGAAUUCCAUCCAUUGGAUCAGCCUCCAAAUUAAUGUUAUCCUCAUCCAUCACAAGAGGAGGGAUUACAUUCAGUAAUUUAGAAGAAGAGAGCGACAUUUCAGAAAACAAAAAAAAAAAAACUAAAUAGCUUCAUUUGCUAUAUCCUUGUCCAAAUCCACCGAAGAACCAUUCGAAUGCACUCUCCUCUGUUUAACAGUCGAGUGAAAGUACAUUGAGUUGCAAUCCCUAUGCUUCAACUACUUCACUUGAGUUUUUUGGCUCCAGAAUUGUUCCUCAAUUAAAAGUGCAUGUCGUAAUUUCGCUAGGGCCUUAUUAAGUUCGUCUAGGCUUCAUCCUUUUUUUUUUUUUUUUCCGAAGACGACAACUGUUGUAUAACCUAAUCUAUUCUACACUAAGGAGGAGGGGGCGGACCUAAGGAGGUCCAGGGAUAAUCCGGAGGGGACUGAACCACCAUCGGAUCAAACGGGUGCACCACACACCCGCUUGGAUUUUUUGAAACAAACCACUUAAAUGUGAAACCUUGCCUCCCACCCCACCUAGCUAGGUGGUGGCCACCGGCCCAAAGGCUGGUGGUUUCGUCUGGGCUUCAUCUGAAUCAUCAUUUUCCAAACUUGUUUCAGCCAUUAAAACCAAAGAUUCUGCUGCCUUAAUAGACGCAAAAUGUUUUCCAAAAGACCGGUUAUUCCAUUGUUGAAUAGCUUUUCUAGCCGCCAACAAAUUGGAGCACAAAAUACGCAAUGGUGAACCACUAACCUCCAGCUUCCAGGUAUCCCGAAUCACCUCCAACAGCGAGGACUUUGAAGUCCAGACAUUCAAAAAUCUGAAAGGCCUCGAGUUAUCAUCGAAACACGACACAAACAAAAUCUUCAAUGGCGCAUGAUUGGAUAAAUAUUAUUAGUCCUUUUCGUUGCAAGACCGUUUUGUUUCCAUUUACUCUUUUUCAAGUUUUAAUUGGCUACUCUUUGUUUGCCUUUCUCGAAUAACACGAUUUAGAAUGGCAAAUGAUUAUUGACCACGAAAAACAGCAAAUAAUCUAAGCCUAGUUAACUGGCUAUUAGCAAUUAUAUCAGUCUAAAAUCUUCUCUUAAAAUGAAAAAUUUUUGAAUUAUGGGUGAUUAAAUUUUAGCCUGAUACACAGUCAGUAGUUCAGGUAUUUCUGAAUUAUUCGACUAUUGCCGUAAAAUGAGCAAUGCUCUUAUAGAAAAAUGGUUGGAUGACUAAAAAAGGAAAUGGCAGAUUAAUGGAGGAGAAUUUCAUGACUAGCACUCAAUAUUUUUUGUAAUAUUCAUUUAAAAAAUCAGGCACACUAACCCUACAAGAGCUUGUUGGGACUAAUAGCAUCUAAAAUAGGGUCAGUCUUUCAACUUUCAGAAAAGGCCCUCUUGAUUUUUGAUCAAACAACUUGAUUCUUAUUUCAAUCUCAAAGAAGUGAACAUCCGGUAGUGCAUUAAUAAUGCAUCUGACAAAAGUGCCAGUCUGCUACUAAGGAAUUAUAGACGGAAAAAAACAACUCUUAAGAACGGUAAAAGUCGAGGUAUAUGCUUUUCAUGAGCAUAGAGUAGCCCAACCAAUUUCAAGAUUUGAAAGUGGACUUGAAUUGAUGUAUGAACGUGAAUAGUAUUACACAGAAUACAAACUUUAAACCAGCAAUAGGAGCUGAAAAUAUCUUUUAUUAAACAAAAAGCAACUACAAAAGCCAAGGCCUUAAUCUGAUGUAACUCGAAGACGAUAGUUGCAACACUGAGAAAUAAUAUCAGCUAAGUAAAAAUGUCAGCCCCUCCCAAGGAAUUAAGAGGAGGAGAAGAAACGAAAUUAGUAAUCUAUGUCUGGGGAUUUCUAUACUUAGAGAUCAUCGAUCCAAUCUUAUCAAGUAGUUUAGUUGCACUUU